GAUGAAGAACGCAGCGAAAUGCGAAAAGUAAUGUGAAUUGCAGAAUUCAGUGAAUCAUCGAAUCUUUGAACGCACAUUGCGCCCGCCAGUAUUCUGGCGGGCAUGCCUGUUCGAGCGUCAUUUCAACCAUCAAGCCCCCGGCUUGUGUUGGGGACCUGCGGCUGCCGCAGGCCCUGAAAACCAGUGGCGGGCUCGCUAGUCACUCCGAGCGUAGUAAUACAUCUCGCUCAGGGCGUGCUGCGGGUUCCGGCCGUUAAAAGCCUUAUUUACCCAAGGUUGACCUCGGAUCAGGUAGGAAGACCCGCUGAACUUAAGCAUAUCAAUAAGCGGAGGA
RNAcentral lists this unclassified non-coding RNA (334 nucleotides) under soil metagenome. Its description in RNAcentral is "partial contains 5.8S ribosomal RNA, internal transcribed spacer 2, and large subunit ribosomal RNA". The stretch from base 1 to 120 matches the Rfam family "5.8S ribosomal RNA", at positions 35 to 154 of the family's 154-position model. The record is from RNAcentral.